UACCAGCACCCCGAGUGGUCGGGACGAUUAUUGGGCCUAAAGCAUCAGUAGCCGGUCCUACAAGUCUUCCGUUAAAUCCACCUGCUUAACAGAUGGGCUGCGGAAGAUACUAUAGGGCUAGGAGGCGGGAGAGGCAAGCGGUACUCAGUGGGUAGGGGUAAAAUCCUCUGAUCCAUUGAAGACCACCAGUGGCGAAGGCGGCUUGCCAGAACGCGCUCGACGGUGAGGGAUGAAAGCUGGGGGAGCAAACAGG
RNAcentral lists this ribosomal RNA (253 nucleotides) under uncultured bacterium. RNAcentral's name for it is "partial 16S ribosomal RNA". It matches the Rfam family "Archaeal small subunit ribosomal RNA", at positions 474 to 727 of the family's 1478-position model. The record is from RNAcentral.